This 9252-nucleotide long non-coding RNA is filed under the name Mytilus galloprovincialis (Mediterranean mussel). The record is from RNAcentral. Lineage: Eukaryota; Metazoa; Mollusca; Bivalvia; Mytilida; Mytilidae.
CAUAGAACUAUUUUUUGUCGUGGGUCAGGUAGGUUGGGACAGCUAAUCUAAUAUUUAUUUAUGUUGAUCAAAAAUUAACAUAAUUUAUUAUAAAGUCCACGUGCUUUCAUGUCAAUACACAGUUCAUAAGCUGCAAUUUGAAUUAAAUCAUGUAAAAUAUUAUUCGAUUUCAUAGUUUAAUGCAACUAUUUGCGUGCAUUCCACUCCAGGCUACAGAGAAAAUUUUAGGUAAGAGAUGCUGAUUAUAUUUGGUUUGCAUAUAUUAUUUUGUAUAUAUUAUGGCAUUUUAUUAUCAUAAUUUAUCAAGUAAAUGCGCAAAAAUUAUGAAAGUGAAUGAAAAUUGAACGUGGAAAUGACAGUUAUCUCCGUCUUUGUCUGGCAUCAAAUGAAAUUAUUGAUUUUUUUGGAUGCCAUUCUAUUCUGAUUCAGAUGCUGAGAGGAUGUGAAAACUAGUAAGAAUGGAUGCUGACAAUUGUGUGUCUGUUGUCAUGGAUAUAUUAAAAGUAAACAAAAUAAUAAGAGCUAAUUCUUAGCAGAGAACAUUAAGAUUUAUUUAAAAAAUAUAUUUUAAUAAUUUUAUGUUCAUGAUGUUUAAUAUUUUGAAUCUAUGUUUAUAUAAAUGAUGCAGCUUUUUUGUAGGUUGUUCCAUAUUGUCAUUUUAGUAACUUUAUAAAAACUACUAUUAACUCUAAAGAAAAAAUAUCAUAUGACUAAAAUAAAAUGAAAUCCUGAAGUAAAGAUAUAGUUUUAAUUAUUUUAUAUUUUUGGGGUGGAAAAGGGGGGGUCAUUAGUUUUUAUUGUAAUAGAAUUGUCUGUUAUAUUGUGUUUAUACUGAGUAUUGCCUUGAACAAUUUGAAGGGGAAAAAAUAUAUGUAUAUUUAACUAAAAACUAAAUAGCCUAGAGGACUCUGAGAGUUGCUAUAUAUGUAGCUAAAAAUAAACUGCAUAUUAGUCCAACCACACUCUGGGAACUGUGAGUGUUGUAUUUAGUUUAGUUUUAUCUUUAGAUAUGUAGCUAACAAUUUGUUGGUACAUAUGUAGCUAAAAACUCAUAUCAAAGGGGAGAGUUUGUAUAUAUGUAGCUAUAAACUAAGGAGGAGAGUAGUACAUGUGUCACUAUAAACUAAAGGGGUUGGUAAGUACAACCACACUCAGGUAUCUUGUGAGUGUUGUGGGUAUUUUUGUUGUAAAUCUUUUUUAUUCAUAAUUAGAGAAUUUUCAUAUAAGGCAGAUAUUUGCCAGUCUUUUUCAUAAACUUGGAGCAAUUAACAGUUCAGUCUGUGCUACAAUCUACUAGUUAGAAAACUAAAUAUCAUAACUUGUCAUUAUAUGACUAUAUAUAAUUUUGAAAAUUUUCACUAGUCUGAAGCAAUAUUUACUACAUGUAGUCUGGGGCAUCAAUAUCUAACUAGUGACUAACUGUAGAGACUGCAGAUUAUCCUACAGUGAUUAUAAUUGUUUCCCCUUGUUAACUCAAUGGCUUUAUUUUAAUUCUUCCAUCAAGUGCUAAAUUGUUUAGAAAUUAAACUUAAGAUAUAAUUUUGGUGUUCAUUUAUUGUUAUACAUGCAUAGGUAUAGAGUAAAAUCACAAAAAUACUGAACUCCAAAGAAAAUUCAAAAAGGAAAGUCCCCAAUCAAAUAGCAAAAUCAAAAGUUCAAACACAUCAAACGAAUGGAUUACAAUUGUCAUAUAUUCCUGACUUGGUCAUGUUGGUACAGUCAUUUCAUUACAAUGAAACUGACAAUUCCUGGAAUAAGGGAUUGGGGGAGGUGAAAAAAAAUGGGGGGGGGGGGUAAAAUUUUUCUCAUUUCAGAUUUCAGAAAUUAAAAAGAAUUUUUUUCAAAUUUUUUUUUGGAGGGGAUUUAUAUUCAACAGCAUAGAGUAUUGUAUUUAUUACAUUCUGGUAUUGUAAUUAUUACUUUUUAUAUGACCCCACAAAAAUAUUGCAGUCGUAUAUUGGUAUCAUGUUGUUGGCAUCGUCGGCAUCGUCAUCUAAAGACGAACGGUUUCCUGAUAAUAACUUAAGUAUAAGUAAAUAUAUAUCAAUAAAAUUUUAACACAAUGUCUUUAACCACAAUAAAAAAAAAUUGGGAUUGAUUUUAGGGGUUAUGGUCCCUUGGUUUAGGAAUAAGGGGACCAAAGGGGCCCAAAACAUACAUUUAUCUAGUUUCAGGACAGUAAGUAGUGUAUAAGUAUUUCAAUUACUCUGAAUUGUAUAACAAUGUUUAUACAUGUGUACCAUUAAGUAGAAGGUUGGGAUAUAUUUUAAGGGUUAUGAGGCCAAAAACAAGCAUCAUUGAAGUUUCGGGACAAUAACUUAUGUUUAACUGUAUGGAUCUCUCUGACAUUGUACCACAAGGUUCCAUAUAAUGAAGGGAAGGUUUGGUGUCAGUUUGGGGUUAAUAUCCCUGAACAUUUAGGAAUAAGAGGGCCAAAAAAGGGCCAAAAAGAAGCAUUUUUCUAGUUUACAGACAAUAACUUGUGUUUAAGUGUAUGGAUCUCUCUGAAAUUAUACUACAAGGUUUCAUACUACAAAGGAAAGGCUGGAAUUGAGUUUUUGGGUUCUUGCUCGAAGGGUUUUAAUAAGUUAGGGGCCAAAAAGGGGCCCAAAUAAGCAUUUUUGUAGUAAAGGAAGUGAUAAUUGUCUUGAGAUGUGUAGCUGUAAAUUAAUUUUUAGAAGUUACUGUUAAUUAAUAUUAAUUUUAACCAUGACUGCAAGUUAUUUUAUAUUUUAAUACUUUAUGAUGUAAAUGAGUAGUUAUUGUUGCCAACUUAAUUAGAAAUUUGAAUUGAGAUUAUUUUGGAAUAAGGGAUUGGGGGAGGUGAACAAAAAAUGGGGAGGGGUGAGGGGUAAAUUUUUUCUCAUUUUAGAAUUCAGAAAUUAAAAAGAAUUUUUCUUUAAAUAUUUUUUUUUUGAGGGGAUUUAUAUUCAACAGCAUAGUGUAUUGCUCAAAAAGAAAAAAAAAAAUUAAGUUCACAGUGGCGGAUCCAGAAAUUUUCAUAAGUGGGGACCCACUGACUGACCUAAGAGGGGGCCAGGUCCAGUCACGCUUCAGUGAUUCCCUAUAUAAGCAACCAAAUUUUUUCCCAAAAAGGGGGGGCCUGGGCCCCCCCCUAAAUGCGCCUCUGGUUCAUUAGACCACAUUCAUUCUUGUGUCAGAAACUUUUGCUGUGUCAACUAUUUAAUCAUAAUCCAAAUUCAGAGCUGUAUCAAGCUUGAAUGUUGUGUCCAUACUUGCCCCAACUGUUCAGGGUUCGACCUCUGCGGUCUUAUAAAUCUGCACCCUGCAGAGCAUCUGGUUAAACUUAAAUUAACUUCGUAUGACAUUGUGAGUGUUGUUGCUCGACAAUUUUCGCUGAGCAUGGUAAAAAAUUUUAUUUGAUGCCCUGUUCCCUUUUUUCCUGUGAUCUUUUUAGGUUUUUUUGGUAAAAAGCUAAAUUAAACUACUUAAGCCAAAUUGAGCUAUAAAUAUCUCUUUAUGUUACUUUUCAAGAGAAAUCCAAUUUUCAGCAUUAAUAUUUUGAAGUAGAGCCUAAAAUGUUAUGCAGGGGUGAUAAAUGAAUGUUUUGAUUUUAUCUGAAAAAAAUAACUUUAUAUCAAUCUUGAAUUAUUUUUCCACAGUAAGAGGACAAGAAUUAUUGCAUAAUUAUAAAAUUCAACCAUUCUUUUUCUUAAUAGAUAGACUAGGAAGAUGUGGUAUGAGUGUCAAUGAGACAACUCUCCAUCCAAAUAACAAUUUAUAAAAGUAAACCAUUAUAGGUCAGUGUACGGCCUUCAACACAGAGCCUUGGCUCACACCGAACAACAAGCUAUAAAGAGCCCCAAAAUAACUAGUGUAUAACCAUUCAAAUGGGAAAACCAACAGUCUAAUGUCUUUAAAGUUUCAAAAUGAAAUUCCAGAUAGCCAAUGAGAAACAGGGAUUUCAUUGAAAAAUCACUGUAAGGAUGACUUUAUAUAGCCCAUUUAUGGAGCUUUAAAUUACAAAAUAGAAAAUGGAAGAAGAAUUACUUCCCCAUGUGAAAAUAAGGAAAAGCAUAUAAUUGCCAAAGAGACAACUAACCACCUAGUAUCUAAUAACAUCAAGAAUUCUCAUUGAUAAGGAUUUUUUAAGGUGAGUCCAGGGAUCUGUCAGUUUUGGCAAUGGCAAGUCCAUACAAUGUGAAAAUGAAAUUUUAUAGUUAUCUAUAAUACUAAAAUUACGAGGUCCAAUUUGUCAGCCGUCAUCACGUAAAAACGACGAAUCAAAGAAUUCAACUUUAUAUACAGCUAAUAUAGUACAAAGGUGUAGAUUAAAAAUUACACCACUCCAGGCCCUUUUGUUUUCCACGUAAUUAAUAUUGCCAAUAAUUAGGAAGUUCCGGGUCGAGUCCGAUACCGAUACCAAUAGUAUAAUCACCUGUUACCUAUUACCUUAUCUGUACGUUCCGCAUCUGACAGGCGCACCACCAAACGGUGUAUUCAGGAUUAAUAUGCUAUAUACACGGGUCAUAAUCACAGGGUUGACACUACUUAAUUGUCAAAUUGUUACCUAUUGUAGUAUUUUAAUCCGUAAGACUUUCUAAGAUAACAAUACGAAUACUAAAAAUCUGGAAAGUUUCAAUUUGUUAGCGGGCAUGACGUAAAACAGUGAAUCAAAGAAUUCAACUUUAUUUAUAACUAAUAUAGGACAAUGCUGUUGAUUAAAAAAUACUCCAUUCCAGGACCUUUUGUUUUCCAAAUAAUUAAUAUUACCAACUGACCAAUAAUUGAUAAGUUCCAGUGCAACGGGUUCAAACAGAAAGAUUUGAAAGCAGAGAAAAUUGUGUAUCUUAUAAUCGGCAUGACUUUAUCAGAUGACAGUACUAAUACUAAAAUAAGGCUUGCGCAUAGUUAUAUACUUUAAUUCAGUCACGGACCCGUGAUAUCACGGGUGUGUUCUAGUAUAACUUAUUAUUCAGUAAACAUGACAAAAUAGCACAAGGAAACAACAUUAUUAUUUAGAUUAAGAAAAAUUACCAAAAUAAUGAUAUACGUGCUCAGAUGAAUAAAAAUAGUUUACUACACUCUUGAUGACAGUGAUAUUGUUUGCCUUAAAUUAAUGGAGAAUAAAGACUUUUUCCCCUGUAGGGAAUCCCAAUUUGAAAAAAAAAUGGGUUAAAAUUAUUCCCAAAAAGACAACUUUUUUCCCAAACAGUGCAGUUUCAGUAGUAAUUGUGCAUGAAUUCAAACUGAAAAACACUCAUUUAUACUUUUUUCAUGCCUAAAAUUACUACCAGUAUAUGUGCAGAUUUGAGGGUGUAUUUAUGUAUCAUCACUGACAAAAAGGGGUCUUAUUUCAAAGCAGGGUUUGACUCUUGAAAUGGGGUCUGUAAAUUGAAGUUUCAUUCAAAUUCAUGGUUUAUUGUAAAAUUCCCAAUUUGAUGAAAAUUAUGCAUAUUUUCCCAAUAAAAAAGGGUAGAGGUAGUUUUGAAAAAAGCCAACAAUAUCACUGUGAUGCAUCUUUGAACUCAUCAGUUUUGAAAAAGAUGAGUCGUGACUCUCACAGGUUUUCAUGAGUCCAGGCCUUGAAGGCAUAAAACUUUGCUCAGUGCUCGGGGCACAAAAAUCAGGCUCGAAACAUGAAAUCCAGCAAUUUGAUUGGUUGAUUUUUCGAGUCUGAGUACAUAAAUCAGGCUCGAAAGUUUUAUGACCUUGAGGCCUGGACUCAUCUAAGUGAGAACACUGAAAUCAAAGGCCCUGCAGGGAUUUCAAAUGGACCCCUAGAAAUUGAUUUUUUUAACAAGAAUUUAAAUGUCUUGUAAUUUUAUAGAUUUGUUGUAUCUUGGACAUGGGUAUGAAGUAAUUUGUUUGAAAUUCUUCAAAAUAUUGGUUUUAAGAUGAAAUUAUUUAUAGCUAUCUUAAUUAUGAUGGAAAACUCCAUUGUACAUUACAGACCUACUGUAACAAUGGUUAAUUUCUACAGUUCAAGUGUUAAUUUAGAAUAUUUGCAAAAAAUAAUAUAUAUCCCUGUACUGUAGUAAAAGUUUUUCAUUUCUUAGCUCUUUUGUCAUCUUUAGUUUGAAACUUGUAUUCAAGUAAAUUUACAAACUUGGGGAUUGAGCUUCAAAAUUUAAUGAUUUUUUUUCCUUCUUCAAACUUAGCAGUUUAACUAAUGGCAAAUACAUGUACAUGUCUCUGUGAAAUCAGAUUUGAAAGUUUUGCUUUAAAGUUGCAAAGUUAUGUAUAUAUAUGUUUGUUAUUUGGCAAUGUUUAGUUGCUUAAUACAAUGAACAUCAAUCUAAGCAGGAUAGGCAGAUUUUUAAGUUUCCUUGUGAUUCAAUCAUUCUUUGAGUUCAAAUUAUAAUGUCUCAUCCAUGGAAUCUUGACUCAAGAAUUUUGCAUAUAAAAAAGUGUGCAUAAGGAAAGCUAAAUAAGUAGAGAAAUACAUUUUUGAUGACACAGUUUUUUUUUUUUGUUUCAGUUUUGAAUAAAUUUGGUUUGAUAACUUUAAAAACAAAAAAAAUGUAUGGAAGACCAGAUAAUAAUCUCAAUUUUUUUUCUGACACUUAAUAAAUUGUUAGUUUUAAUAUAAAUCAAUGAUAGAUUAUUAUUAUUCCUACUGAAUUCACAUUUCUUUGUCUAUAUGCAAUGUAUACAUUAUGUAUAGUAAAAGGGUGUAGUAAACUUGUAGUGUCUGAUGUAUAACAAUGAAUUAAUAUAAGCAUAUAAAAAUUAAUAAUGAAUUCAAUUGCUCUAUAAUGUUAUAGUCUCAUAGAAUAUGUUAAUACAUUAAUGAAAAAAUCUAUUUGGCACUGAAUCAACAUAAAUUAGAUGUAAUGAGAUAUUUUGAUUAAACAUUGGUGGGCACAGUGUUAUAUUGGGAGAAAAUCAAUUUUGUCAAUCUCUACAUUAGAAUUCUUGAUACAACUCAUUGCUUCUAAGAGUAUAAAAAUUCUGCAUAAUGGGGAAAUUGGAUUGUUAUAAUCAAUAAUGGAGGGUGCCCUGGGGAAUAUUUAGAUAGUAAACAAAUUAAACAGGAAUCAAUAUGAUGUUCUGGAAAGAAAGGUUUUAUUUGUCUGAUAAACAUCGGUUGGAUAUUUAGUGGUGUAUAAUGGCAAAUUGAGUUUUUAGCAAAACAAUUUUUUUCUCAGUUUAACUUUUGUGUAUCUUUAAAAAAAAUUGGAUAAAAUAGAAUAAGAUGAAUCAAUAUCAGGAAUAAUACUUUUGCAUUUGUAUGAUAAGAUAUUGGGAUAUGUUAAUUAUCUCAAGCUAUUUUAUCCUGUCUCUGUUAUUGCAGAAGGCUACUAUUAGAAAUUGUCUGUUUCUCCUGACCACAGUCCUGAUCAUUGAAUGUAUCAAGAGUAGAUAGACCAGAAGGCAGACAUGUUUUAGUUUUCUUGUUAAAGAUUAUAAAAAAAAACUUUACUUGAGAUUCUGAAAUAAGUUUAUUGUUAUUGUGCGUGUUAGGGGAUGGGGUGCUUUGUGAACCAGUGGUUUAAGAAGUUUAUUUGCUGUGAUCGCUAGCCUAUCGACAUUGAGGUAUAUUAUGAAUGCUGCUUGUGGCAAGGUGCACUUGACAUCAAUCUUGAUUUACUAGGGUUUCCCUGGGGAAGGUUUUGGUUCUCUUGUGGGUACUCAGCCUUCCUCCAGUUUCUGUUCUUUGGUAAGGCUGUUGUCUCUUUGAAACAUUCCCUGUUUCCAUUUCUAUUUUAUCUAUAAGUUUAUUAUUGAGGGAUAACCUUUGCAAUAAUGUGGGUUUUUUCUUCACUAGUGAAAAUUUUAUGUUAAAAAUUCAGAAAUUGUUAUUGUUUAGAUUGAAAAGCUCUGUAAAUUUUUUGUAAUAAUCUGUAGACAUAUUCUAAUAACUUGUUAAAAUCUUUGAAAGAUUGGUCAACUUCCAAAGAAGAUGUGUCAGUUUGCAUUUGUCUUUACUGAAAAUACAUGUAGGGAUUGCAUUUCUAUUGGCACUCAAUAUAUUUAUUUAAUCUGAAAAUGGCAGUUUUCAACUUAUCCUUUAAUAUGAUUGUAUCAUGUUUCCAAAUCUUUUUCUUAACCACCAGGAUAGAUGGGAACCAAACAUGUAUUUUUUUGGCCUAAGAUAUAUUGUAUACUACUUCAUUUGGUGUGAAUUAUAAAAAUGAAAACAAAAUCUUUUUGGAGGUUGAAAAUUUAAAUUAGAUAACCAGAUGUAUUUAUAGAAAUGGUUUUAUGCAGUUCGUAUAUGUGUACAUGUAUAUACACAAUUUUUGAAACACAUUUAUGCAAUUCACAUAAAUUAUUUAUCAAAUAUUGUAUAUUUAAGUUAAGUCCCACUUCAACAUUUAAAAAAUUAUUAAAAGAAAGUUUUAAGUUUUUGUUUCUCGAGACUCGUCAUUCUUUUAUUUGCAGCCUUUAUUAUGUUCAUGACUAACACAUAACUUGAACAAAUCUAGAAUUGAAAAAAUUAAUGCAUCUAAACUUGGAAUAAAAUAAUGAUAUUGAUCAUGAAAUUGAUUUUCCUGAAAUCUUCAUUGUAAAUCAGUCAUGCUUUUGAAGUUCUGAAUCUAAUUAGUGACAGAGUUCGUAUUGAUUAUUCUGUGAAAUAAAAAAAACAUCAGCAUUAGCAAUACAUUUUAUGUCAAUAAUUAGAAACGAAGUAUAGCCUCGCUUGAUUCUGAUUGGUCGAUAUCCUAGUAAUAUUUGAUUGCAAUGUCUUGAGGAUUGGUUCGGGAUUCUUAUUCCGAGCUUAUUUGGAUAUGAUGAUUAUAUCCAGGUAUUAUAAUGAGGAGUCUUACUACAAUCAAAUAUUCACAUUGUCAAUGUAUAGAAUUAAUAAUUAGUCUUCUCGGCAGGUGCUUAACAUGAUUUAUUAAUAAUUAAAGAAUUUACUUAAAUCUCUUAUCAAUGCUCAAAUACAAACUUUUAUUGUGAAAAAACUUGACUUUUUCCCCCUUUUGGGUCCUGUGUCAAUCAUUUCUGCAUCCAUGUCUCUCAUUUUCUACGAAGUUCAGGAAUUUUGUUGUUUUUUCAGAGGACGGAUUGCGACAGGUUUGGAUUACCAAUUAUAAACCAUCAAAGUGGCGCCCGUCGGAAUAGACCCCAUGGACAUGGAUGGGGACUCCAGUGAUGAGGUGACAUCUGAAGCCCUCAAUGGAGAAACCAAGCCUGAUGUCGCCAAACUUGCACAGUCCGCCAUUAUUAAGCAAGUAAGUGAUACAUUCCUGUGUAGGCAGGCUUCCAUAUUGAAGUCAACAGGUGGAAGUCUUGCAUAUGUUUAAACAGGUGGUAGAAAUGAUAAUAAUAAAUGAGCAC